CUACCUCGGGAGGCAGCAGUGGGGAAUAUUGCACAAUGGGGGAAACCCUGAUGCAGCGACGCCGCGUGAGUGAUGAAGUAUUUCGGUAUGUAAAGCUCUAUCAGCAGGGAAGAUAAUGACGGUACCUGACUAAGAAGCUCCGGCUAAAUACGUGCCAGCAGCCGCGGUAAUACGUAUGGAGCAAGCGUUAUCCGGAUUUACUGGGUGUAAAGGGAGCGCAGACGGCAGGGCAAGUCUGAUGUGAAAGUCCGGGGCUCAACCCCGGGACUGCAUUGGAAACUACCGAACUAGAGUGUCGGAGAGGG
RNAcentral lists this ribosomal RNA (305 nucleotides) under uncultured bacterium. RNAcentral's name for it is "bacterial SSU rRNA". It matches the Rfam family "Bacterial small subunit ribosomal RNA", at positions 335 to 658 of the family's 1533-position model. The record is from RNAcentral.